UGGAUGAUGUGGUUAAUUCGAUGCAAACGCGAAAACCUUACCACCUUGACAUGUACGGAAUCCUUUAGAGAUAGAGGAGUGCUCGAAAGAGAGCCGUUAACACAGGUGCUGCAUGGCUGUCGUCAGCUCGUGUCGUGAGAUGUUGGGUUAAGUCCCGCAACGAGCGCAACCCUUGUCAUUAGUUGCUACAUUCAGUUGGGCACUCUAAUGAGACUGCCGGUGACAAACCGGAGGAAGUGGGGAUGACGUCAAGUCCUCAUGGCCCUUAUAGGUGGGGCUACACACGUCAUACAAUGGAUGGUACAAAGGGUCGCCAACCCGCGAGGGGGAGCCAAUCCCAUAAAGCCAUUCGUAGUCCGGAUCGCAGUCUGCAACUCGACUGCGUGAAGUCGGAAUCGCUAGUAAUCGUGGAUCAGAAUGUCACGGUGAAUACGUUCCCGGGUCUU
RNAcentral lists this ribosomal RNA (446 nucleotides) under uncultured Acidovorax sp. RNAcentral describes it as "bacterial SSU rRNA". It matches the Rfam family "Bacterial small subunit ribosomal RNA", at positions 933 to 1382 of the family's 1533-position model. The record is from RNAcentral. Lineage: Bacteria; Pseudomonadati; Pseudomonadota; Betaproteobacteria; Burkholderiales; Comamonadaceae.